Osmia bicornis bicornis is the source of this 633-nucleotide long non-coding RNA. RefSeq lists it as uncharacterized. NCBI's taxonomy places the organism in Eukaryota, Metazoa, Arthropoda, Insecta, Hymenoptera, Megachilidae. The record is from RefSeq and is a predicted model, not a curated record. The transcript is spliced from 4 exons.
AUGCCAGACAAUAGCAGAUAGCAAUGCCAGAAGAAGUAAAACACAGAAUGCCAAUAUUGUCAAAAGUAAAAGGUAAAGUAUAAAGUAUACUAUAGACAGCAGAUUCUCAUGCGAAGUGGGUACACGCAUUACCACAAAAUGAAGAAACAAGAUCACCACAACAGAAAGAUAAUAAGAAGAGAACUGAGAGCUUAUAUGAAGUGCUCAAACCAGCGAAGCUGAGAAGCUGAGAAUCCCUCCUGCGCGGCCCACAUAGCCAAGAUAACCAGGAUAACGUUAAUGAAAAGAGCAACAUAAAACAUAAAAUUGAGCAGGUCAAUCAAUGGCGCUAACGUCAGACAUUGUAUACAAUACAUAAUAUAUUCCUAUCACGUCAAUUAAUGGGAAAAGUACUAAAUCUUCAAAGAAGGGAAGAUCAGCUGGGAAUAAAAGCAAAAGAAGAAAUAGAUGGAACAUUUCACGCAACCACGACCUCAAAUUCGUUUAAUAAGCAAAGAUGGUGGAGAAACAAUCAAAUCAUCAAAUGAAGGCAAAAACCCUACGCCAGCCAACAGAAGUGGAGGCAAAACGUAACGAUUAAUAGGAGAGGAAAAUACCCACCUGACAUAAUAUGAGGAGCAACAUGAAACGUAA